Molecule: long non-coding RNA, 512 nt
Organism: Rosa rugosa (rugosa rose)
Lineage: Eukaryota; Viridiplantae; Streptophyta; Magnoliopsida; Rosales; Rosaceae
Exons: 3
Source: RefSeq, a predicted model, not a curated record
CCUCACUUAGUCACUCCGCCUUGAAUCACGAUUUCACUCGAUCUCCUUAAACCACCAGAAGUCCAGAACUCGAUCUCCUUUCUUCCUCUUCUUUCCUUACUCAUUCAAGAUUUCACUCGAUGUCCUUAAACCACUGGAACUCGAUCUCCUUUCUUCCUCUUCUUUCCUCACUCAUUCACGAUUUCACUCGGUCUUCACUUCCUCUGAGUCUCGUCCGCCGUAGUCUGCCCCAUAUCAAGGAUUCAAGGUCUCUCUCUCUCUCGGUGAUUUUACUCUGGAGCUGCGUUGAAGGAAGUGUAGAAGAAUAAGACCAGGGUCCAGGGCCAGUCGCGAAAAGCUCACCAAGCACCAAGUAGGCAGAUUAUGCGAAGGAGAAAUCCAGUGAACAAUCAGCAAAAAAGGCUGCUUUUAAGGCAAAAAAAUCGAAGCUGGCUGAGCAGUCAGGGAUCGUGAUUGCCAAUUGAUGGAAGGCUUUGCUGAAUAGCUGCUGAAUGCUUAGAAGACUGGAGAAA